CCUACGGGUGGCAGCAGUGGGGGAUAUUGCACAAUGGGGGAAACCCUGAUGCAGCAACGCCGCGUGUGUGAAGAAGGUUUUCGGAUUGUAAAGCACUGUCCUUGGUGACGAUAAUGACGGUAACGACGGAAAAAGCUCCGGCUAACUACGUGCCAGCAGCCGCGGUAAUACGUAGGGAGCAAGCGUUGUCCGGAUUUACUGGGUGUAAAGGGUGCGUAGGCGGUCAUGUAAGUCAGACGUGAAAUGCACAGGCUCAACCUGUGGACUGCGAUUGUAACUAUGGAGCUUGAGUGAUGUAGAGGAUAGCGGAAUACCCGGUGUAGCGGUGAAAUGCGUAGAUAUCGGGUAGAACACCGGUGGCGAAGGCGGCCAUCUGGGCAUUUACUGACGCUGAGGCUCGAAAGCAUGGGUAGCAAACAGGAUUAGAUACCCGAGUAGUC
This 440-nucleotide ribosomal RNA is filed under the name uncultured bacterium. RNAcentral's name for it is "partial 16S ribosomal RNA". It matches the Rfam family "Bacterial small subunit ribosomal RNA", at positions 338 to 795 of the family's 1533-position model. The record is from RNAcentral.